RNAcentral lists this unclassified non-coding RNA (334 nucleotides) under soil metagenome. Its description in RNAcentral is "partial contains 5.8S ribosomal RNA, internal transcribed spacer 2, and large subunit ribosomal RNA". The stretch from base 1 to 120 matches the Rfam family "5.8S ribosomal RNA", at positions 35 to 154 of the family's 154-position model. The record is from RNAcentral.
GAUGAAGAACGUAGCGAAAUGCGAUACGUAAUGUGAAUUGCAGAAUUCAGUGGAUCAUCGAAUCUUUGAACGCACAUUGCGCCUGCCAGCACUCUGGCAGGCAUGCCUGUUCGAGCGUCAUUUCAACCAUCAAGCCCUAGGCUUGCGUUGGAGCCCUGCGGCUGCCGCAGGCCCCUAAAAGCAGUGGCGGGCUCGCUAUCACACCGAGUGCAGUAGAUUACUCUUCGCUCAGGGCGUGUGGCGGGUUCCAGCCGUGAAACCCCCUACUUCUCAAGGUUGACCUCGGAUCAGGUAGGAAUACCCGCUGAACUUAAGCAUAUCAAUAAGCGGAGGA